GGCGACACGCUGCCGGUUGGUGUUGGCAAAGG
This 32-nucleotide non-coding RNA is filed under the name Geobacter sulfurreducens KN400. Lineage: Bacteria; Pseudomonadati; Thermodesulfobacteriota; Desulfuromonadia; Geobacterales; Geobacteraceae. The record is from RNAcentral.